This 254-nucleotide ribosomal RNA is filed under the name uncultured bacterium. RNAcentral's name for it is "partial 16S ribosomal RNA". It matches the Rfam family "Bacterial small subunit ribosomal RNA", at positions 524 to 776 of the family's 1533-position model. The record is from RNAcentral.
UACGAAGGGGGGCUAGCGUUGCUCGGAAUCACUGGGCGUAAAGCGCACGUAGGCGGCUUUCUAAGUCAGGGGUGAAAUCCUGGAGCUCAACUCCAGAACUGCCUUUGAUACUGGAGAGCUUGAGUCCGGAAGAGGUGAGUGGAACUCCGAGUGUAGAGGUGAAAUUCGUAGAUAUCAGGAGGAACACCGAUGGCGAAGGCAGCUCGCUGGGACGGUACUGACGCUGAGGCGCGAAAGCGUGGGGAGCGAACAGG